This 363-nucleotide ribosomal RNA is filed under the name Triticum aestivum (bread wheat). RNAcentral describes it as "partial small subunit ribosomal RNA". The record is from RNAcentral. Lineage: Eukaryota; Viridiplantae; Streptophyta; Magnoliopsida; Poales; Poaceae.
AUGUAUGUCCGCUACAGAGGAGCUGCUCGGCAUGCAUAUGUGUGCCUGAAGCUAGCUCAUCAGGCGCACGUAAGGUCUAUGCACAUACACGUGCGUGACCAUCUUCAGGAGCCAGCCCGGAGGAGGCGUGCCCAUAGGGUGGCAGCGUCGACAAGAUCGGGAGGACGCGCUCGCGGUGGCGCCACGCCAGAUGUGGAGCUGACUGCGUCCCCGCCGGUGACGGCCACUGACGCAGCACGCACGAGAGCCAGCGAGGAGCAAGCGCCCAGAGGAGAUGCACCGUGGCGGUGGCGUCCAGAACACGGCGAGGCCAGCAAGGAGGAGACUUGCCUGCCCCGGCUGUGUCGAGGAGAUCCCAUCUGA